UGAUUGUGACACAGGAGACUUCAUCUGGCGAACGGGUGCAGGUUGGAGUUGGACUCUUGCCAAGCACAGCCACCAGAGGAGAACCCGGCCUUGGCCAGCAUCAGGCUCACAGCCUCGAAGAGGACCGGAGUCCUGGCUCCCGGGGCCCGUGAGAAAAUAAAAUUAUGUUGGUUGAAGCCACUGAGCAUGUGGUAAUCUGUUACGCAGCAAGAGAUGGCAUACAGGCUAGGAAGGAGGUAGCGUGUAGGACGACGAAGUCUAGCAGUACGACCAUCCUCUUACUAAAUGUCGAGAGAAUGAUUGGUUCCACUUCCCAGGACACAGGCUGAGGUUCCAGAGAGCUCUUUGUAUCGAGGUCUGGAGGGAGCAGAAUUGCACUCCGGAAGCUCAGGUGAACCGG
RNAcentral lists this long non-coding RNA (400 nucleotides) under Fukomys damarensis (Damara mole-rat). RNAcentral's name for it is "lncRNA (ENSFDAG00000024025.1)". The record is from RNAcentral. Lineage: Eukaryota; Metazoa; Chordata; Mammalia; Rodentia; Bathyergidae.